RNAcentral lists this non-coding RNA (25 nucleotides) under Drosophila melanogaster (fruit fly). Lineage: Eukaryota; Metazoa; Arthropoda; Insecta; Diptera; Drosophilidae. The record is from RNAcentral.
UGUUUUAUUGUUAGACGGCUCGGGC